RNAcentral lists this long non-coding RNA (280 nucleotides) under Nicotiana benthamiana. RNAcentral's name for it is "long non-coding RNA (NBEN_LNC037828)". Lineage: Eukaryota; Viridiplantae; Streptophyta; Magnoliopsida; Solanales; Solanaceae. The record is from RNAcentral.
UCUAAUUAGUAAUUUCACACGAUUAAAGCACAGUGAGUAAAUGCGUCUGCCCAUUGUUUUUCCUUCCAACUUUUCGAUCAGAUAAUUCUGUUACUCUGAAAUCUGAAACACAGGUUUCUGUCAUUGUACAAUGAAUCAUCAGCCGCCCAUCACCACAAUGGGAACUCCAUCUUGAUUUUGCGGCAUCUCUGACGUUAAUUAUCUCUUCUACUUCAAUUUGUUAAGUCCAAAAUUUGGCUUGUGGAAAAUAUGUUUGUUGAUCUAUGUACGAAAACUUGGG